This 497-nucleotide ribosomal RNA is filed under the name uncultured bacterium. RNAcentral describes it as "partial 16S ribosomal RNA". It matches the Rfam family "Bacterial small subunit ribosomal RNA", at positions 28 to 507 of the family's 1533-position model. The record is from RNAcentral.
GAUGAACGCUGGCGGCGUGCCUAAUACAUGCAAGUCGAGCGGACGGACGAGAAGCUUGCUUCACUGAUGUUAGCGGCGGACGGGUGAGUAACACGUGAAUAACCUACCUAUAAGACUUGGAUAACUUCGGGAAACCGGAGCUAAUACCGGGUAAUAUUUUGAACCGCAUGGUUCAAAAGUGAAAGACGGUCUUGCUGUCACUUAUAGAUGGAUCCUCGCUGCAUUAGCUAGUUGGUAAGGUAACGGCUUACCAUGGCAACGAUGCAUAGCCGACCUGAGAGGGUGAUCGGCCACACUGGAACUGAGACACGGUCCAGAGUCCUACGGGAGGCAGCAGUAGGGAAUCUUCCGCGAUGGGCGAAAGCCUGACGGAGCAACGCCACGUGAGUGAUGAAGGUCUUCGGGUCGUAAAACUCUGUUAUUAGGGAAGAACAUUUGUGUAAGUAACUGUGCACAUCUUGACGGUACCUAGUCAGAAAGCCACGGCUAACUACGUG